GAUGAAUGCUGGCGGUGUGUCUAAGGCAUGCAAGUCGAGCGGAUCAUUCAAGGUAGCAAUACUUUGGAUGGUUAGCGGCAAACGGGUGAGUAACACAUUGGUAAUCUGCCUCGAAGUCGGGCACAACACUGCGAAAGCGGUGCUAAUUCCCGAUAGUCUCUCUGGUGCAAGUCCAGAAGAGUAAAGCCCAAAAGGCGCUUCGAGAGGAGCCUAUGGCCUAUCAGCUAGUUGGCGGGGUAAUGGCCCACCAAGGCUACGACGGGUAGCAGGCGUGAGAGCGCGACCUGCCUCAGUGGGACUGCGACACUGCCCAC
Molecule: ribosomal RNA, 314 nt
Filed under: uncultured bacterium
Lineage: Bacteria
Description: bacterial SSU rRNA
Rfam family: Bacterial small subunit ribosomal RNA
Source: RNAcentral